UUAUGGCUCAGGAUGAACGCUGGACGGCGUGCUUAACACAUGCAAGUCGAACGGAGUUUUUAACGGAAGUUUCGGAUGGAAGUUUAGAACUAGUGGCGGACGGGUGAGUAACGCGUGGGUAACCUGCCUCAUACAGGGGGAUAACAGUUAGAAAUGACUGCUAACACCGCAUAAUAUAGCGAAACCGCAUGAUUUUUGCUAUCAAAUAUUUAUAGGUAUGAGAUGGGCCCGCGUCUGAUUAGCUAGUUGGUGGGGUAAAGCCUACCAAGGCGACGAUCAGUAGCCGGCUUGAGAGAGUGACCGGCCACAUUGGGACUGAGACACGGCCCAAACUCCUACGGGAGGCAGCAGUGGGGAAUAUUGGACAAUGGGGGAAACCCUGAUCCAGCGAACCGCCGCGUGAGUGAAGAAGUAUUUCGGUAUGUAAAGCUCUAUCAGCAGGGAAGAUAAUGACAGUACCUGACUAAGAAGCCCCGGCUAACUACGUGCCAGCAGCCGC
This 499-nucleotide ribosomal RNA is filed under the name uncultured bacterium. RNAcentral's name for it is "bacterial SSU rRNA". It matches the Rfam family "Bacterial small subunit ribosomal RNA", at positions 17 to 518 of the family's 1533-position model. The record is from RNAcentral.